RNAcentral lists this ribosomal RNA (492 nucleotides) under uncultured bacterium Riz74. RNAcentral's name for it is "bacterial SSU rRNA". It matches the Rfam family "Bacterial small subunit ribosomal RNA", at positions 578 to 1067 of the family's 1533-position model. The record is from RNAcentral.
GCUUCUUAAGUCUGAUGUGAAAGCCCGCAGCUCAACUGCGGAGGGUCAUUGGAAACUGGGAAGCUUGAGUGCAGAAGAGGAGAGUGGAAUUCCACGUGUAGCGGUGAAAUGCGUANAGAUGUGGAGGAACACCAGUGGCGAAGGCGGCUCUCUGGUCUGUAACUGACGCUGAGGCGCGAAAGCGUGGGGAGCAAACAGGAUUAGAUACCCCGGUAGUCCACGCCGUAAACGAUGAGUGCUAAGUGUUAGAGGGUUUCCGCCCUUUAGUGCUGCAGCUAACGCAUUAAGCACUCCGCCUGGGGAGUACGGCCGCAAGGCUGAAACUCAAAGGAAUUGACGGGGGCCCGCACAAGCGGUGGAGCAUGUGGUUUAAUUCGAACAACGCGAANAACCUUACCAGGUCUUGACAUCCUCUGCUACUUCUAGAGAUAGAAGGUUCCCCUUCGGGGGACGGAGUGACAGGUGGUGCAUGGUUGUCGUCAGCUCGUGUCG